GGCCGGUUGACGCAGUUGGUUAGCGUGUGGAGCUAAUACGUGAUCACGUAAUCACUCCAAAGUCAUGGGUUCGAGCCCCAUACGGGCCA
Molecule: non-coding RNA, 89 nt
Organism: Tulasnella sp. 427
Lineage: Eukaryota; Fungi; Basidiomycota; Agaricomycetes; Cantharellales; Tulasnellaceae
Source: the annotation of a GenBank genome assembly